AAUCAACCGAGAUUCCCCCAGUAGCGGCGAGCGAACGGGGAGCAGCCCAGAGUCUGAAUCAGCUUGUGUGUUAGUGGAAGCGUCUGGAAAGUCGCACGGUACAGGGUGACAGUCCCGUACACGAAAACACACAGGUUGUGAACUCGAAGAGUAGGGCGGGACACGUGGUAUCCUGUCUGAAUAUGGGGGGACCAUCCUCCAAGGCUAAAUACUCCUGACUGACCGAUAGUGAACCAGUACCGUGAGGGAAAGGC
This 254-nucleotide ribosomal RNA is filed under the name Enterobacter cloacae. RNAcentral's name for it is "partial 23S ribosomal RNA". It matches the Rfam family "Bacterial large subunit ribosomal RNA", at positions 223 to 514 of the family's 2925-position model. Lineage: Bacteria; Pseudomonadati; Pseudomonadota; Gammaproteobacteria; Enterobacterales; Enterobacteriaceae. The record is from RNAcentral.